AUGCUUCGCAAAGUUCUCGUAUUGUGUUUUUCAGCUCCUUUAAUUCAUUCAUAUUCCUCUCUAAGUUAUCCAUUCUUGUUAUCAUUUCCUCAAAUCUUUUUUCAUAUAUUUCUUUUCCAUCUGUCUCAGGAAAAUAUUGGAAGAAUUCACAAAAAAAGCUGGGCAUGGUGGCUCACGCCUGUGAUCCCAGAACUUUGGGAGGCUGAAGUGGGUGCACCACCUGAGGUCAGGAGUUCGAGACCAGCCUGGCCAAUGUGGUGAAACCCUGUCUCUAUUAAAAAUAUAAAAAUUAGUCGGGUGUGGUGGCAUGCACCUGUAAUCCCAGCCUCUCGGCAGGCUGAGGCAGAAGAAUCACUUGAAGUUGGCAGGCAGAGGUUGCAGUGAGCCAAGAUCAUGCCAUUACACUAAACUGGGUGACAAGAGUGAAAGAGUGAAAUUUCAUCUCAAAAAAAAAAAAAAAUAAGAAUUUAUAAAGAAAGUCCAGAAAACAUUGGGUUUUCUGCAAUGAAGUGUUAUGAAAACAGAUUAUUUAAAUUAUCAUAAUCAGAGUUUUAAUCUUAUUUACAAAUAAUAAAUCCAUGUAGAUUUUCAGUGCCAGGUGACAGUGUAUUUUCUGACUUUUUUACACAGCAUAAAGGUGUCAGAAUUGAGAAACUAUGAGAUUCUGCUUGUUUCAAGCCCUGGUGCUUCAUAGUUGAGUGUGAGGCACCCUGGCAGCCAUUUCUGCUUAACAAGGGACUGAACAGACCCGUGCUCUGUUUUCUGUGCUUCAUCACACACUGGCAUACUUAAAGGGGUAGUUACGGGCCAGACAAACGACAGAUGGCACACUUGCACCAAUCAGAUUUGCCAGUGCAGGAGGUUCUCCUCUCACUGCAGUACCCAGGAAAUAUGCCAUGGCUCCAUAUCCAUAUGGGAUUGCUCCAGGAGUGAAGGCUCCAGGCACAGCUGUUUGGAUGAACAGGUUUGGCCUUAACUCUGAGUCUAGGAAAUAUCAUGGAUAACCCACAUUUGGCUUACUGUAGUUCUAAGUCAUCAUUGGACAUUUCUUUUCUCUAGAAGAUGGCCCAGAGCACUAAAACUACUUUCCACCAUCAGCAGAUCCUGAAAUAGCCCUGAGAAUCAGCUUUAGUUCCUCUCAGCUACAGUCUGAAAGCAGCCCGCCUUUCCAGGACCCCGGAGAGAGAUACACCCUUCUGUGUCCCUAAAUCAUCUAAGCCCUGCAGACCUCGGUCUCAUCUGUGGACCCUGUAUCAGCCCUGUGACUCAGGCCCAGCCCCUCUCAGCCAUGUCUGAAGGCCAGCACUGCUUGCCCAGGGACCCACCCAGUGACCCAGAACAAACCAAUGCAGAAACCUGGAGGAAGCCACACCUAUCCAUAUACCAGGUAUAGACCUGCCUUCUGCAGAUUCUGAAAUAGACUCUUAUUUGGUACCACCCUACUAGCCAUGCUUCUGGGGACAGUCCAGUCCACUCAGAACCCAGACAGGAUCCAUGUUUGCUUGAGACCCUGGUAACAGCCUCACCUACUGUAUAUCUCACUAUGCACUCAGUAGAAGCUACAUGACCUACUUCUAACCCUGCUCAACUGUAAUCCCAGAGGAAAUCUGAGAGUCAGUCUGGGGACCCAACAGAAGAAGCCCUUUAUCUAGAGAAACCAGCUACACAGACUGAAAGAAGUAUUUGGUACUUGAAAUGCAUAGACACCAAUACAAAGCUGCACAGAUCAUAUGAUCCAGCAAUCCCGCCACUUCUGGGUAUGUAUUCAGACAAAAUAAAAUAAGCAUGUUGAAUUAAUAUCUGGUUUGAGUCCAUACCUUGGCUAUUGCAAAUAAUGCUGCACCAUUUACAGUAGCCGAGGUAUGGAAUCAAACUAAACUUUCAUUAAUUUAUGAAUGGAUGAAGAAAAUGUAGAAUAUUACUUGACCAUAAAAAGAAGGAAAAUCCUGUCAUUUGCAACAGCAUGGAUGAAACUUCGGGACCAUUAUGGUAAACAGAAUUUUAAAAGUCACAGGAACAAAUGCUAUAUGGUCUCAUUUAUAUGUGGAAAUACUGUAUGAUAUCACUUAUAUGUGGAAUCUAAAAAAGUUGAACUCAAAAAGUAGAGUAGAAAGGUGGUUGUCAGGGGCUCAGGGACAGGGGAAAUUGAAAGAUGUUGGUCAAAGGGUACAAACGUUUUGUUUUAAGAUGAGUAAAUUCUGGAAAUCUAACAUCCAAUAUGGGACCUACGGUUGACCAUACUGUAUUGUUCACUUCAAAUUUAUAAGAGUACAUUUUAAGUGUCCUCACUGCAUGCACGUAUACACACACAUGUGCACACAAAAGGGUAACUGUAGGUGGUGAUGCUUACAUUAAUUAAUUGGUUGUGACUAUCACUAUAUAUGUACCUGUAUAUAAAAUCAUCACAUUAUGUACCUG
This 2418-nucleotide long non-coding RNA is filed under the name Callithrix jacchus (white-tufted-ear marmoset). Its description in RNAcentral is "lncRNA (ENSCJAG00000084401.1)". The record is from RNAcentral. Lineage: Eukaryota; Metazoa; Chordata; Mammalia; Primates; Cebidae.